RNAcentral lists this ribosomal RNA (369 nucleotides) under Triticum aestivum (bread wheat). RNAcentral describes it as "partial small subunit ribosomal RNA". The record is from RNAcentral. Lineage: Eukaryota; Viridiplantae; Streptophyta; Magnoliopsida; Poales; Poaceae.
AUGCACGAGCGCGACGUGUCCACCAGCAUAGCGCACCGCUGCGAGCUCAAGUCGUUGCUUGCUGCUCGGGGCUGCGCCUUCUCCCUCCCGCAGCUCCUCGUCGGCGGCCGGCUCAUCGGCGGCCCCAAAGAUGUUAGGCAGCUGCACCAGGCCGGCGGGCUGCGGCCCCUCCUCGACGGCGCCCCAAGGCCGAGCCCUGCCUUCGUCUGCCAAGCCUGCAAGAGGGUCGGCUCCGAGCCCUGCCCAGAGUGCAGCGAGUCCCGCAACAAGAUGCUGGAUCAUGGCAUUACGGAGGAGGAGGAGGAGAGGGUUGUCCUUUUUUAUCCAACUCAAGGUGACACUUCGCUUCUCUCCUUCCUAAUUGCUUAG